RNAcentral lists this long non-coding RNA (2178 nucleotides) under Homo sapiens (human). RNAcentral describes it as "HSALNT0376781". The record is from RNAcentral. Lineage: Eukaryota; Metazoa; Chordata; Mammalia; Primates; Hominidae.
UUCUUAUGCCUGUCUUUACUGCAAUCUUGGAACAUAAAUUCUUUCUGGAACAAUGUCAAAAGUCAUUCAUUUGGGGGGAACUCAUUCUCUACAAGCAAACUACAAAGCCUUUGCGUGAAGACAGAGGAUAUCUGGAAUUUGAUUGUAUUUCUCACACUGUCUAGUGCUAAUUACAACACACAGAUAUUCAAUCAAAACAUAUUUGCCACUGAAAAUAUCCUCUGGUCAUUUAUUUGGCUCAACGGACCUAUAUGGCCAUUCCCUCUUCCACAGUUGUAAAGACUUUGCCUAAUUUCUGGCAACUAUAGAAGUAGUGGAAUGAACCAGAAUAUGAAGGAUGAAAAGCAUCAGGGAGAAACACUUCUUCAAAUCUCUACUUGAAGAAGACUAAGUGUUCUUGUUUUUCUUUAAUAGAAAUACAUCCAGGAAAAAAAAAAAAAGAGAAAGUGAAGUAUGUUUUAACUAAACAAGGAAAUAUUAAAGAUCGCAUAGGAUAUAGGAAACAUUUUUCAUCCAGCGUCUGACUACAAUCAUGGUUAUGCCUUAAGAAAUUAACUUAGCAAUAGAGGAGAAGACAAGUUAUAUGUAGAAGAAGAUUAACAACAGGUUGAUACAAUCACCCAAACAAGAGCCAUGAUAAGAUGUGUUUGCUUUCUCUUCACCUUCCACCAUGAUUGUAAGUUUCCUGAGGCCUCCCAGCCAUGCUUCCUGUACAGCCUGAGAAACUAUUAAUACAGCAAAUCUCAGAGAAAUAUCUUGUCCACUGUCAAACAGUUGAUAAGAAGCCAAACCUGACUUUGAGCCCAGAACUUGGAUCAUUCUCAGUGCUGUUUGGAGAAGAGUCUUUAGAAGUGCAAUGGUGGAGAAUGGAGAUCACUUAAGAUACUACUGAAAUUCUCCAAGCUGCUAGAAGUAAAGGUGGUAAGAUGUAAUUGAAUCUUAGGUAUAUUUUGAAAUUUGGUGAUUGAUUCAAUGUAGAAAGUGAAAGAAAGAUGUUUCAAGGACCACACCAGCUUUGGAGCCUGAAUAACUGGUAUAAUGGAGUUGGCAUGUAUUGAGUUGGGGAGACUGUGAAAAGAGCACGUUUGGAACGAGUAUUGAGAGUUUUUCUUUGGACAUGCUAAUUCUAAGAUGCCUAAUAGACUGUCAAGCAAUUUUAGUAGUCAUUUGGGUAAAAAGUCUAAUACAAGGAAUAAGUCUCAAUUGGAAAUAUAAAUUUGUAAUCACCAAAUUUACAGAUGAUUUGUAAAGACAUGAGAGUGCAUAUAAUUUAUUCAGACAGCAUAGAUAGAGAAGAUGUGGAAACCAUACCAAAAUUUAAAGUUGGUGAAUAAAGGGGGACCAGCAUUUUUAAAAAAAUUAAAAUAAUUGAUUAGAAGAAAAAAUAAGAGAAAACAAAUUUCCUGGAUAAAAUAAUUGAUAAAGUGAUGGCAUCUUAGUUUGAGUUCCCUUGAAAGCAGAGCCUGAGAUAAGAACUGGGAAAGGAUAGUUUAUUUGGGACAUUAUCAUGAAGCCAGAAUGAGGGAAUGGCAAGAAUGAUACAGGGAAAGAUCAACAUAGAGGUGCAUUAUUAAUCUGGUUACCACUGUGGAAACUAGGGCUUCUCAGAAUUAUCAAAAGCUCCCCUUCCCCAGUUCCCAUUGUCCACUGAUGGAGGAUUGCUCUCUGGAACAUUGACUUCCCUAUCUUACCAGGCUUCUUAAGUACAUGGGCUCUUAUGGCUUCAUGAAGGCCCUGAGAAUGAAAGCAGAAUAACAGCUGGAUUUAGGUUGAGGUGAAAUAGUUCCAGAAUAAGUCUGAACUUUCAAAGCAUUGUCUAAUGUUGCUGCAGCUGAAAUCAGAGCUGGCAAGGGAAUGGGAUGUGGGGAUAGGUCAUGUGACACCAGGGGAAAUUACUGAAAUAUCUGACUCAAAGUAGCUAAUAUUAGCAUUUUACCCCCACAGCCACAGUGAUGGAUUUAUGGCUGGCUGUAUGACACAACCUGAGCCAGAGUCUUUCUCUAAUUUUGUUUUAAUUUGUCCUGUAAGGAAAUUACCUUUGCUUUCUAGUUGUUUGUUUAUGAGUUUGUAAACUCUUGGCCAACUAAAACCAUUCCCCUAUUACAUGGAAAUCACUAUAGCCAUAGGAAAAAAAAUCAAGAAAAGAGAAUAAAGAGACAACCGCAAAUUGGGAGAAAA